Molecule: microRNA precursor, 102 nt
Filed under: Marmota monax (woodchuck)
Lineage: Eukaryota; Metazoa; Chordata; Mammalia; Rodentia; Sciuridae
Source: RNAcentral
AGUGAGAUAACUGGGUCAAAUGGUGGUUCCAUUCCUAGUCUCUGAGGAAUCUCCACACUGCUUUCCAGAAUGGUUGCACCAAUUUUCAGUCCCACCAGCAAU